RNAcentral lists this ribosomal RNA (378 nucleotides) under uncultured Pseudobdellovibrionaceae bacterium. Its description in RNAcentral is "bacterial SSU rRNA". It matches the Rfam family "Bacterial small subunit ribosomal RNA", at positions 523 to 898 of the family's 1533-position model. The record is from RNAcentral. Lineage: Bacteria; Pseudomonadati; Bdellovibrionota; Bdellovibrionia; Bdellovibrionales; Pseudobdellovibrionaceae.
AUACAGAGGGUGCAAGCGUUGCUCGGAUUUACUGGGCGUAAAGCGUACGCAGACGGUCUCGCAAGUCGGGAGUGAAAGCCCUGGGCUCAACCUGGGAACUGCUUUCGAUACUACGAGUACUUGAGUUUGGGAGAGGAAAGCGGAAUUCCUGGUGUAGAGGUGAAAUUCGUAGAUAUCAGGAGGAACACCAGUGGCGAAGGCGGCUUUCUGGCCCAAUACUGACGUUCAGGUACGAAAGCGUGGGUAGCAAACAGGAUUAGAUACCCUGGUAGUCCACGCUGUAAACGAUGAGUGCUGGAUGUCGGGGGUAUUCACCCCCUCGGUAUCGAAGCUAACGCGUUAAGCACUCCGCCUGGGGAGUACGGCCGCAAGGUUGAA